RNAcentral lists this ribosomal RNA (432 nucleotides) under uncultured bacterium. RNAcentral describes it as "partial 16S ribosomal RNA". It matches the Rfam family "Bacterial small subunit ribosomal RNA", at positions 29 to 506 of the family's 1533-position model. The record is from RNAcentral.
AACGAACGCUGGCGGCAUGCCUAACACAUGCAAGUCGAACGAGACCUUCGGGUCUAGUGGCGCACGGGUGCGUAACGCGUGGGAACCUGCCCUUAGGUUCGGAAUAACUCCCCGAAAGGGGUGCUAAUACCGGAUAAUGUCUUCGGACCAAAGAUUUAUCGCCUUUGGAUGGGCCCGCGUUGGAUUAGCUAGUUGGUAGGGUAAAAGCCUACCAAGGCGACGAUCCAUAGCUGGUCUGAGAGGAUGAUCAGCCACACUGGGACUGAGACACGGCCCAGACUCCUACGGGAGGCAGCAGUGGGGAAUAUUGGACAAUGGGCGAAAGCCUGAUCCAGCAAGGCCGCGGGAGUGAUGAAGGCCUUAGGGUUGUAAAGCUCUUUUACCCGGGAUGAUAAUGACAGUACCGGGAGAAUAAGCACCGGCUAACUCCGU